GCAAGUCGAGGGGCAGCAUUAAAUUUAUUUAUAAUAAAUUUUGAUGGCGACCGGCGUACGGGUGCGUAACACGUACGUAACCUACCUUUUGCUAGAAAAUAGCCUGAGGAAACUUAGAUUAAUGUUCUAUAGUAUAACAGAAUCGCAUGAUUCUGUUAUUAAAGUAGCAAUACGGCAAAAGAUGGGCGUGCGUCCGAUUAGUUAGUUGGUAAGGUAAAGGCUUACCAAGACAGUGAUCGGUAGGGGGCCUGAGAGGGUGAUCCCCCACACUGGUACUGAGACACGGACCAGACUCCUACGGGAGGCAGCAGUGAGGAAUAUUGGUCAAUGGAGGAAACUCUGAACCAGCCACGCCGCGUGCAGGAAGAAUGCCUUACGGGUUGUAAACUGCUUUUGUUUAGGAAUAAAAAUUCUUACGUGAUAAGGAUUGUGAAUGUACUAUACGAAUAAGUGUCGGCAAACUCCGUGCCAGCAGCCGCGGUAAUACGGAGGACACGAGCGUUAUCCGGAUUUAUUGCGGUUUAAAGGGUGCGUAGGCGGUUUAUUAAGUCAGUAGUGAAAUAUUGCAGCUUAACUGUUAAAAUGGCUAUUGAUACUGAUAGACUUGAGUGAGAUUGGAGUAGCUGGAAUGUGUGUGUAGCGGUGAAAUGCAUAGA
This 656-nucleotide ribosomal RNA is filed under the name uncultured bacterium. RNAcentral describes it as "bacterial SSU rRNA". It matches the Rfam family "Bacterial small subunit ribosomal RNA", at positions 57 to 694 of the family's 1533-position model. The record is from RNAcentral.